UUGGAGGGCAAGUCUGGUGCCAGCAGCCGCGGUAAUUCCAGCUCCAAUAGCGUAUAUUAAAGUUGUUGCAGUUAAAAAGCUCGUAGUUGAAUUUCGGGAUCAUCAGGUUGGUCGUGCCUCUGGUAUGUACUUUCCUCGAUGGUUCCUCCUUCUUGAAGAACCGUAAUGCCAUUAAUUUGGUGUUGCGGGGAAUCUGGACUGUUACUUUGAAAAAAUUAGAGUGUUUAAAGCAGGCUAACGCUUGAAUACAUUAGCAUGGAAUAAUGAAAUAGGACGAUCAAUCCUAUUUUGUUGGUUUCUAGGAUUGACGUAAUGAUUAAUAGGGAUAGUUGGGGGCAUUAGUAUUCAAUUGUCAGAGGUGAAAUUCUUGGAUUUAUUGAAGACUAACUACUGCGAAAGCAUUUGCCAAGGAUGUUUUCAUUAAUCAAGAACGAAAGUUAGGGGAUCGAAGACGAUCAGAUACCGUCGUAGUCUUAACCAUAAACUAUGCCGACUAGGGAUCGGAUGAUGUUAAUUUUUUAAUGACUCAUUCGGCGCCUUACGGGAAAGCCUUACGGGAAA
This 561-nucleotide ribosomal RNA is filed under the name uncultured Glomeromycotina. RNAcentral describes it as "SSU rRNA". It matches the Rfam family "Eukaryotic small subunit ribosomal RNA", at positions 548 to 1097 of the family's 1831-position model. The record is from RNAcentral. Lineage: Eukaryota; Fungi; Glomeromycota.